Molecule: ribosomal RNA, 253 nt
Filed under: uncultured bacterium
Lineage: Bacteria
Description: partial 16S ribosomal RNA
Rfam family: Bacterial small subunit ribosomal RNA
Source: RNAcentral
UACGUAGGAGGCAAGCGUUGUCCGGAGUUACUGGGCGUAAAGCGCACGCAGGCGGUCUGUUAAGUUUGGAGUGACAGUUGGGGGCUCAACUCCCAAAGUGCUUUGAAAACUGACAGACUUGAGGGCUUCAGAGGGACACGGAAUUCCGGGUGGAGUGGUGAAAUGCGUAGAGAUCCGGAGGAACACCGAAGGCGAAGGCAGUGUCCUGGGGAGUACCUGACGCUCAGGUGCGAAAGCCAGGGGAGCGAACGGG